Molecule: unclassified non-coding RNA, 244 nt
Filed under: plant metagenome
Description: partial contains small subunit ribosomal RNA and internal transcribed spacer 1
Rfam family: Eukaryotic small subunit ribosomal RNA (bases 1-46)
Source: RNAcentral
AAGUCGUAACAAGGUUUCCGUAGGUGAACCUGCGGAAGGAUCAUUAAAGAAUACCUGGACUCGGUCCUCGUCGAGAAAGGUCGUCCCGGGUGCCUCCAGGUCCCCGGGGCUUCCCCCUUUACCCUCGUUUACUCUACCUCCGUUGCUUUGGCACAGCUCCUGCCCGGUGGUUCCGGGCUUGGGCUCUGCCGGAGGGCCCCAACUGUGGAUAGUCUAUGUUUGUCUGAGUGCGAACAAUCGUUUA